Felis catus (domestic cat) is the source of this 85-nucleotide non-coding RNA. The record is from Rfam. NCBI's taxonomy places the organism in Eukaryota, Metazoa, Chordata, Mammalia, Carnivora, Felidae.
GCCUGGGGGGCUCAGUUGGUUUAGCGUCUGACUUCAGCUCAGGUCAUGAUCUCAUGGCUCAUGGGUUCAAGCCCCUCUUCAGGCU